UACGUAGGUGGCAAGCGUUGUCCGGAAUUAUUGGGCGUAAAGCGCGCGCAGGCGGUCCUUUAAGUCUGAUGUGAAAGCCCACGGCUCAACCGUGGAGGUCAUUGGAAACUGGGGGACUUGAGUACAGAAGAGAAGAGUGGAAUUCCACGUGUAGCGGUGAAAUGCGUAGAGAUGUGGAGGAACACCAGUGGCGAAGGCGACUCUUUGGUCUGUAACUGACGCUGAGGCGCGAAAGCGU
RNAcentral lists this ribosomal RNA (238 nucleotides) under uncultured bacterium. RNAcentral describes it as "partial 16S ribosomal RNA". It matches the Rfam family "Bacterial small subunit ribosomal RNA", at positions 524 to 762 of the family's 1533-position model. The record is from RNAcentral.